RNAcentral lists this ribosomal RNA (250 nucleotides) under uncultured bacterium. RNAcentral describes it as "partial 16S ribosomal RNA". It matches the Rfam family "Bacterial small subunit ribosomal RNA", at positions 524 to 773 of the family's 1533-position model. The record is from RNAcentral.
UACAGAGGGUGCAAGCGUUAAUCGGAUUUACUGGGCGUAAAGCGUGCGUAGGCGGCAAGAUAAGUCGGAUGUGAAAUCCCUGGGCUCAACCUGGGAACUGCAUUCGAUACUGUCUAGCUAGAAUUCGGUAGAGGGUGGCGGAACUCCAGGUGUAGCGGUGAAAUGCGUAGAUAUCUGGAAGAACACCGAUGGCGAAGGCAACCACCUGGGCCUGAAUUGACGCUGAGGCACGAAAGCGUGGGGAGCAAAC